This 1064-nucleotide ribosomal RNA is filed under the name Bacillus sp. (in: firmicutes). RNAcentral's name for it is "bacterial SSU rRNA". It matches the Rfam family "Bacterial small subunit ribosomal RNA", at positions 35 to 1080 of the family's 1533-position model. The record is from RNAcentral. Lineage: Bacteria; Bacillati; Bacillota; Bacilli; Caryophanales; Bacillaceae.
GUUGCGGGGGGGGGUGCUAUACAUGCAGUCGAGCGGACAGAAGGGAGCUUGCUCCCGGAUGUUAGCGGCGGACGGGUGAGUAACACGUGGGUAACCUGCCUGUAAGACUGGGAUAACUCCGGGAAACCGGAGCUAAUACCGGAUAGUUCCUUGAACCGCAUGGUUCAAGGAUGAAAGACGGUUUCGGCUGUCACUUACAGAUGGACCCGCGGCGCAUUAGCUAGUUGGUGAGGUAACGGCUCACCAAGGCGACGAUGCGUAGCCGACCUGAGAGGGUGAUCGGCCACACUGGGACUGAGACACGGCCCAGACUCCUACGGGAGGCAGCAGUAGGGAAUCUUCCGCAAUGGACGAAAGUCUGACGGAGCAACGCCGCGUGAGUGAUGAAGGUUUUCGGAUCGUAAAGCUCUGUUGUUAGGGAAGAACAAGUGCAAGAGUAACUGCUUGCACCUUGACGGUACCUAACCAGAAAGCCACGGCUAACUACGUGCCAGCAGCCGCGGUAAUACGUAGGUGGCAAGCGUUGUCCGGAAUUAUUGGGCGUAAAGGGCUCGCAGGCGGUUUCUUAAGUCUGAUGUGAAAGCCCCCGGCUCAACCGGGGAGGGUCAUUGGAAACUGGGAAACUUGAGUGCAGAAGAGGAGAGUGGAAUUCCACGUGUAGCGGUGAAAUGCGUAGAGAUGUGGAGGAACACCAGUGGCGAAGGCGACUCUCUGGUCUGUAACUGACGCUGAGGAGCGAAAGCGUGGGGAGCGAACAGGAUUAGAUACCCUGGUAGUCCACGCCGUAAACGAUGAGUGCUAAGUGUUAGGGGGUUUCCGCCCCUUAGUGCUGCAGCUAACGCAUUAAGCACUCCGCCUGGGGAGUACGGUCGCAAGACUGAAACUCAAAGGAAUUGACGGGGGCCCGCACAAGCGGUGGAGCAUGUGGUUUAAUUCGAAGCAACGCGAAGAACCCUUACCAGUCUUGACAUCCUCUGACAACCCUAGAGAUAGGGCUUUCCCUUCGGGGACAGAGUGACAGGUGGUGCAUGGUUGUCGUCAGCUCGUGUCGUGAGAUGUUGGGG